Molecule: ribosomal RNA, 468 nt
Filed under: uncultured bacterium
Lineage: Bacteria
Description: partial 16S ribosomal RNA
Rfam family: Bacterial small subunit ribosomal RNA
Source: RNAcentral
GACGAACGCUGGCGGCGUGCUUAACACAUGCAAGUCGAACGGAAAGGCCCUGCUUUUGUGGGGUGCUCGAGUGGCGAACGGGUGAGUAACACGUGAGUAACCUGCCCUUGACUUUGGGAUAACUUCAGGAAACUGGGGCUAAUACCGGAUAGGAGCUCCGGCUGCAUGGUGGGGGUUGGAAAGUUUCGGCGGUUGGGGAUGGACUCGCGGCUUAUCAGCUUGUUGGUGGGGUAGUGGCUUACCAAGGCGUUGACGGGUAGCCGGCCUGAGAGGGUGACCGGCCACAUUGGGACUGAGAUACGGCCCAGACUCCUACGGGAGGCAGCAGUGGGGAAUAUUGCACAAUGGGCGGAAGCCUGAUGCAGCAACGCCGCGUGCGGGAUGACGGCCUUCGGGUUGUAAACCGCUUUCGCCUGUGACGAAGCGUGAGUGACGGUAAUGGGUAAAGAAGCACCGGCUAACUACGUG